CCCUAGCCAUCCUUCUGUCUGCCCGCCAUUGCUAGGGUUGCAGGCAGGCACCACCAUGCCCAGUACUGGGGAUUUGAGGCCAUUUCUUCAUGCUUACAUGGCAUGUACUUUACCCAUUGAGCUAACUCUCCAGCCCUCUUUUGCUCAUUUGUAGAUCAGGUUGCCGUUUAUAUAGUUGAGUCUCUUGUACCUUGUCGGAGUUACCUAAAAUGUACCUAAUAUAAUAAUAUCAAGUUAGUAGAGAACUCUUCUUGCCCGAGUGAGUGGGUGUACGCAUGCACACAUACACAUACACACACACACACACACACACUAUAUUGUAAUUUCAUAAACACAAAAGAAAAAAACACUUUAAAAAAAGAAAGUAAAGAACUUGAUGAGGCUAAAGUUCACUAGUUGCAUUAGAUGUAAUAUAAAAUGUACAGUUCUCACUCUCUGGCUAUGUCUGAGUGACAGUAAAAUACCAUAUUCAGUGUUUAUCUACAGAAAUGUGUGUUCGCCUCCUGGUAAUUACAUUGUCUCAUCUGGUAUGAUUUAGAGUAUGCUGAAGUAGUGAGUUGGUAAGGAGAUGUUUAAAAGAUUAGACUCUAAGGUAAAGCUGGACAUGGUGGCACAUGCCCAACAUUCAAGAGACAGAGGCAUUCUGAGUUUGAGGCCAGCCUGGUUUACUGAGUUCCAGGACAGCUAUGACUACUCAGAGAAACCCUGCCCUGAAAAACAAACAAAAAAAUAAAAUAAGAUGAAAUGCCAACAGGGGCUAGAGAGAUAGCUCACUGGUUAAGAACACUUACUGUUUUUGUAGAGAACCUGGGUUUGGUUACCAGCACAUAGUGGUUCAUAACCAUCUAUAACUUCUGUUCCAGAGCCUCUUACACCUUUUUUCGGACUUCUGCAGACACCAGACACAUACGUGUUCCAUAUACAUACAUGCAGAUAAAACAUUCAUACACAUAAAGUUAAGUCUUUAAAAAAAAACCAAAAAACUAAAAUUAGCCAGGACCACACAGAGAAAUCCUGCCUUGAAAAAAACCUAAACUUUUAGAAUGGUAAAAUUAAAUAGGACUCAACAAAUUAUCUAGUGCAAAUAUUUAUAGUGUUAUGGAACUGUUAACUAAUUUGCAUUACUUGUCAUGUUUCUUUUGUUUAUGUGAGGUAUAUAUUGACACCUUAUAUAUGGGUGUAAAGAUUUUUGAGGUUUGUUUUGAAUUGGUUUUAUUGAGACUCGGGUGUAGACUAGAGUCCUGAGCUUGUAGAGAAGCCAGCUCGGCCUCCCAAGGACUGGGGUCAUAGGUGUACUUAACCAUACCUACUUGAUAUAGUAGAAUUUUUUUCGUUGUUAGUCUUUAGAUAAUGUAAAUGUCUUGGGCUAGUACCACUCGUUGUAAGAUUACAUGUUGCCUCUUAGUGAUAUCCAGUCUUAGAUUUACUUUGCUGUUCCUCAAAACAGCUCAUUUUAAACCUGAAGGUCUGUGUGCGAUGUGUGUAUGUGAAUAUUGCAGUGGGAUGCCUGUGGAGGUUCCCUCCUUACACCUUGUGUUUUGAGUCAGGCUCUCUCUUUUAAUUUCUGCCUCUCGAUAUACUCCAGACUAUAUGGCCCAAGAGUUUCUCAGAAUUUUUCCUGUCUACCUCCCAUAUCCCUAUAGGAUGGCUGAACAUCACUGAGUCUGGCUUACCCUGGUUGUCAGGUUUGUAGCAGGCACCUUAAUCCACCAAGCUGUCUCUCCAGCCCCUAUAAGAGUCUUUCAGAUAACUAAAUUCAAAGUUGCUUCUAUUAGAACUGUAUCUGAUUUCUGUAGUGAGGAUAUUUGGUUUCUACUAUGUAGCCAAGGAUGACCUUGGCUUCCUGAUUCUCCUAUCUCCCAUCUCUCAACUUCUUGGGAUUUAUAGGUCUGUCUUCCCACCCAUAACUAGCAGUUUUGUUUUGUUUUUGGAGAUAGGAAUAUACUUCGUUUCCAGGAUUCCCAGCUUGCCUUAGUCUACUAGGCUUAAAUGAAUCCUUUGCCUCAGUUUCCCCUCAAGUUGAGACUACCAACAAGUGUCAUUACACCUGGCUCAGAUUUUAAUUUGAAAUGUUAUAUUUAUUUCUAAUAGGCAUAGUACUUAGAGUCAAAGGAGGAUAGUCCCUUUAUUUUAGAUGCACUAUAUUUUAUAGACUCAGUUUUAAAAACAAAAUAAUAGCACCUCUUUGUAGAUUUCUUAGAUUUAUUUUUAUAAGCUUUUGUUCAUUUGUGUUUAUUUGUGUGUGUGUGUCUGCGGGUGUCUCUGUAUAUGUGCCAGUUACCUGGAGAACUUAGAGAAGAGCAUUGGAGCUCUUGGAGCUGGAGUUACAGCAGGUAGUAAGCCAUGUGACCAUGGAUACUGGAGGCCACACUUAGGUCCUCUGAAGAAGAACAGGCAUUAAAAACUGAGAUGUCUCUCUAGUUCUAAAAGACUUUUUAAAAAAAUUUUACACACACACACACACACACACACACACACACAUAUACAUACACAUAGUUAACAGAUGGUUGUAAACCACCAUGUGGGUGCUGGAAAUUGAACCUGGGUUCUUUGGAAGAGAAGUCAGUAGUCUUAACUGCCAAGCUAUCUCUCCAGCUUCCAUGAUACAUAGUUUUUAAAAUCAAGGUUAUCAAGACCAAAAGGUAUCAUGGCUUAUUAAGACCAUGCACCAAGUGGGAUUAUGAGAAAGUCAGCACACGGUGUAAGAGUGUGACAAAGCAAAAAGCCACUUGAAAUGUCAGGUUAUUGGAUUAUUGGCUUAUUUUCAUCUUGCUGGAGAGAGGGAGAGAGAGAGAGAGCGCACGCUCGCGCACAUAUUAAACUUUUUUCAUGUUAAACUUAGCACUUUGUAUAUGGCUCCUUUGUAGAGCAGGUAGGAUCUCAGUGUGUAGCAGCCCAGGCUGGCCUGGAACUUGUCCUUAAUGGUCCAUCUUCAACCUCCCAAGUACUGAGAUUAUAGGUGUGAGUCUCUACAUCUGGAUUUUUCUGUGUAUUUGUAAGUAAUGUUUUGGUUUUGUUUGU
Molecule: long non-coding RNA, 3021 nt
Filed under: Mus musculus (house mouse)
Lineage: Eukaryota; Metazoa; Chordata; Mammalia; Rodentia; Muridae
Description: long non-coding RNA chr18:38436784-38439805
Source: RNAcentral